CACUAACGGAAGGCCAGCACUGACGAUGAAACCUCUCUAAGUUGAAGCCGCGCUUCUUCCACAGUCGACUCUCGAUCAACGCGGCUGACUAACUUGCCGACUUAGCUUCAACUAAGAAGGACAAAAUGCCAAGACAACCACGAUCGCACUUGCGACAUACCGACUUGGUCACGAUCGAUUGAAGGAUAUUCGGCUUGCCACC
Molecule: long non-coding RNA, 202 nt
Filed under: Elaeis guineensis (African oil palm)
Lineage: Eukaryota; Viridiplantae; Streptophyta; Magnoliopsida; Arecales; Arecaceae
Description: long non-coding RNA (EGUI_LNC024507)
Source: RNAcentral